This 58-nucleotide transfer RNA is filed under the name Salmo salar (Atlantic salmon). It matches the Rfam family "tRNA", at positions 8 to 63 of the family's 71-position model. From Rfam's summary of the family: Transfer RNA (tRNA) molecules are approximately 80 nucleotides in length. Their secondary structure includes four short double-helical elements and three loops (D, anti-codon, and T loops). Further hydrogen bonds mediate the characteristic L-shaped molecular structure. tRNAs have two regions of fundamental functional importance: the anti-codon, which is responsible for specific mRNA codon recognition, and the 3' end, to which the tRNAs corresponding amino acid is attached (by aminoacyl-tRNA synthetases). tRNAs cope with the degeneracy of the genetic code in two manners: having more than one tRNA (with a specific anti-codon) for a particular amino acid; and 'wobble' base-pairing, i.e. permitting non-standard base-pairing at the 3rd anti-codon position. The record is from Rfam by way of RNAcentral. Lineage: Eukaryota; Metazoa; Chordata; Actinopteri; Salmoniformes; Salmonidae.
UGGCUUAGUUGGUAGAGCGUAGUACUUAGAAUGCUGAUGUUGUGGGUUCGAUUCCCAC